This 451-nucleotide ribosomal RNA is filed under the name uncultured soil bacterium. RNAcentral's name for it is "bacterial SSU rRNA". It matches the Rfam family "Bacterial small subunit ribosomal RNA", at positions 947 to 1384 of the family's 1533-position model. The record is from RNAcentral.
GAAUUCGAUUAACGCGAAGAACCUUACCCAGGCUCGAACGGUGAUGGACAUCCGGCGAAAGCCGGCUCCCGCAAGGGCCGUCAUCGAGGUGCUGCAUGGCUGUCGUCAGCUCGUGUCGUGAGAUGUUGGGUUAAGUCCCGCAACGAGCGCAACCCUCGUUCCAUGUUGCCAGCGGGUUAUGCCGGGGACUCAUGGGAGACUGCCGGGGUCAACUCGGAGGAAGGUGGGGAUGACGUCAAGUCCUCAUGCCCCUUAUAUCUUGGGCUGCAAACAUGCUACAAUGGCCGGUACAGAGGGUUGCGAGCUAGCAAUAGUAAGCCAAUCCCAGAAAGCCGGCCUCAGUGCGGAUUGGAGGCUGCAACUCGCCUCCAUGAAGUCGGAGUCGCUAGUAAUCGCGAAUCAGCAACGUCGCGGUGAAUACGUUCCCGGGCCUUGUCACACCGAAUCACUA